GGGCGCCUCCGCGCUCCCGCCUCCUCCUGGCAACCUGGUGCGCGGCUCCGGACCUGGCGACCCACGACCGGCUGGUCACUUGCUGCCACCUCGCAAAGGCGCAUCUCUAGUUCAGUGGUGAGCUGCGGCCCGGUCGCUGCAACUCGCUCCAGGCCUCCGGAUUCGUGGCCUCGGUGUCCCUCGCGGAGCCCUCGGUGUGUCGCUUGCAGGCUCUUUUUUUGAAGAAAGCAGGGAGGGAAUGGCCUUGUGAGAGACUCCAGGAGCAAAGAGCGACCCUCACAAGGCCCAAGUCCUCCCAGAGCUCAGGGAAGCUGUCGCUUCUGACAGAAGAAGGGAGACAAAGCUCCCUCCUGUGUGUCCCUGGUGGUCUAGUGGCUAGGAUUCGGCGCUUUCACCGCCGCGGCCCGGGUUCGAUUCCCGGCCAGGGAAUUGUUUUACACUGGCCGCCCUCCCGCAGGAAUCUUCCUUCACUACGCUGUCAGCCGGCCUGCUCCAAGGGCCAGAAGCAGAACAGUCUCCGCAGCGGGGUUAAAGCCGGGCGAAGGAGGGCAAGCGCUGGUGGACCACCUCUCACGACACACCGUUCCUGUUUAUCUCCGUGUCCGUCAUCCGCCGAAGCAGCUUUAGAGAGCGACUGAGCGUCUCGCUCCGGUGUACACAGCCCGGCAGAGAUGCCAGCCCCCGUGGAGCUGCACCCAAUAAGCCCACCUUCUUUCCCGUCGCCACCCCGGAGACGCCCAUCGGGCUGAGCUGCGAAUAACUAAGAGAGAGGCCAAGCCAAGUCGUGGCGUUUGUGGCAACCCCGGACACGGGCACCAGCCAGUCAGCGGAGCCUCCUCACCUCCGUUGCCAGCGAAGGCGCUCGUUAGGCCUUGGGAAGAGGCGACCGGAGGCGAUGCCCGCGAAUUUGUUAGGGGGGGGAGAGACCGUGGUCACGAAGGGGGUUCUCCCAGAGUGAAGCUUCUUCAUCGCACUCUAGAGUUGCUGAUCCCUGUGAUUUCCUCCAUGUGGGAAACGGUGUUUGUGCUAGAAGAGGCUGCGCUCUUUACCUGACAUAACGGGGUUCAAGACUGACAACGCCUCACGCCCACCCGAAAACGUUUACAUGGCUUCCUUGUCUCUUUUUUUUUCUGUCCUAAAGUCGCCUCAUCUUCACAUCCCCUCUUUUUUUUCUUCCACACUCGAGAGUGUCUCUCUCUCUCAGUAAAAGCUCCACCAAA
This 1220-nucleotide transfer RNA is filed under the name Homo sapiens (human). RNAcentral's name for it is "long intergenic non-protein coding RNA 3126 (ENSG00000291400.1)". The stretch from base 358 to 429 matches the Rfam family "tRNA". Lineage: Eukaryota; Metazoa; Chordata; Mammalia; Primates; Hominidae. The record is from RNAcentral.